CCGCGGUGCAGCAGGCUCCCUCCCGCAGGUACCGGGACGCCUCCCCUCGCCCCUGGCCGCCUACUGCAGCCAUCGUCCUCCCUAUGUUCCUGGAAAAAUGAAAAGUCAUGAUGAAUUUUAAAGGGAAGUUGACCCAGUUACUGAAGUGUGCUGCGAAGGCCUGGUGGUGGGAAGGGGGACGGAAGCCAGACGCCGCCCAUCCCGCCCGAGGUGUGUCCCGGUGAGGCCUGAGCCUGUGCUCUUUAAACUCAGAGCCCGCCUCCAGUUGGAUUCCUGAGGGGACGGGCCCGCCUGUGGUCUGUAAUUGUGCCAGAGACAGUGCGUGGGUUCCACGGCACCAGGGGAGCCAGCCAAGGGGCCGAGGGGAGCGACCCCCCCCCCCGCGUCUCCCCGGCGCCUGCGCGGGCACUCGGAUCCUUUACACCCUGGAGCCCCCACAGCCAGGGCUGGAGGAGGCUUCGCUGCAUCAGUUUGCCACGUGUCUCUCCAUGACCAGUUCUGUCCGGGACACCCACCUGGGAGCAGCCCCACCCAGGUCCCCACUGAGCCGGUCCAGCGACCUUUGUCUGACUCAGGGCCCGGCACCCAGACCACCGAAGGGGGGUUGAGGCUCUGUGCGCCCGGAGCCCCUGAGAGCCCACCAGCUGGGUGCCCUUGCUGGGCAAGGCAGAGGCAGACGUCCAAGACCAAGAAAUCCCCCCUUCCUGAGCGGGCUCCUGCCUGGGGCUGGGGCACUGCCAGCUUCCUCCUUCAGCCACUGUGUCUCCAAGGCCUGGGGGCUGCCCCGAGCCGGCCGCAGCCAGGGUGGGAGGACUCCCCCUCAGGACCCCGCACAGAAGGGUUCGAACUCAGUCCUGGCAUCCACACCAUUCCCGGUGGCGGCUGUUGGAGUCGGAGACAGCAGCUCUGCCAGCUGGACGGGGGCUGGCGGGCAGUUCAGGGCAGUCCGUGCCUCUUGGAGGUGCAGGGGUCAAAGUGGGGAAGGUGGGGACUGUGGAGAACCCGGACAGAGACCCUGCCAGCAAGCCUAGUGUUGGGGGACUGCCCUGGGGCUCCCAGGUCAGCGUCACCUCAGCAAGGGUGGCAGGGUCCAGGUUGGGCAGAUCCAUCACUGGUUCCUGGGUGGGGUCAACCUGGGCCCCCAGGGCCCCUCCUGGCACAGGAAGCUUGAAGGCCUCUGCUGGUCCCCAAACCAGCCUUGCCUGCUCUGUGUCUGGGGGUGCUGCUCUCGGCCCACCCCGGGAGUGGACCCCAGGCCGCAGGUCUUGUGCCUGUGGACACUCGGGGUGGGGGGUGUCAGUCCUAUGUCGGUUCCUCUGGGGGAGGGACUCUGCAGUCUGUCCAUGGAUCUCAAAGGAUCUAAAACAGUCGUUGUCAGGAGGGUAGCGGCCUCCUUGUGGCCUCCUAAAAAUACAACUCUGGGUGCUUCUAAGCUGGGUCCUGGGACUGUGGUAUCCACUGUUCUUGUCACAUGUGGGAUUUCAUGUGUGCUUUUGUGGGUAUGAAACAUUUCAUGGAGUCCUCCUGUGGCCCAGAGGGUCAAGGAUCUGGUGCCACUGCAACGGCUUGGGCACAGUCCAAAAAAAAAGUCAUAACAAGAAAAGAUUAUUUAGGCACUACUUCGUCCACACAGGCGGUAAGAUGCUUGGGGUUGAAGACUAAUCCCUGAUGCCAGGUGUCAGCGACAUGGCCAGGGGCUGGCAGAGGCAGGCUCUCUGCUGCCCCCACCUCCCAGUCCCAAGUCCGUGCACGCCUUCAGGAAGGAUUUCUGGAAAAGUGACUGCAGUUUCCCUGGUGUGACAGCACAAAAUGCCAGCCAGGUGGCCUAAAGCUCUGCUACUCUCAUUUUGACUUUUAAAAAAAGUGUUUCAAGAGUUCCUGUCAUGGCUCAGUGGAAACGAAUCU
This 1905-nucleotide long non-coding RNA is filed under the name Sus scrofa (pig). Its description in RNAcentral is "lncRNA (ENSSSCG00005013642.1)". Lineage: Eukaryota; Metazoa; Chordata; Mammalia; Artiodactyla; Suidae. The record is from RNAcentral.